CCUACGGGGGGCAGCAGUGAGGAAUAUUGGUCAAUGGGCGAGAGCCUGAACCAGCCAAGUCGCGUGAGGGAGUACUGCCCUAUGGGUUGUAAACUUCUUUUGUCAAGGGACAAAAUCAGGCUCGAGAGCCUGACCGAGGGUACUUGAAGAAAAAGCAUCGGUUAACUCCGUGCCAGCAGCCGCGGUACUACGGAGUAUGCGAGCGUUAUCCGGAUUUAUGGGGUUUAAAGGGUGCGUAGGGGGCCUGUUAAGUCAGCGGUAAAAGCCCGGGGCUAAACCCCGGCGCGCCGUUGAAACUGGCUGUCUUGAGAUGUCGAGAGGUAUGCGGAAUGCGCAGUGUAGCGGUGAAAUGCUUAGAUAUUGCGCAGAACUCCGAUUGCGAAGGCAGCAUACCGGCGGCGAUCUGACGCUGAGGCACGAAAGCGUGGGUAUCGAACAGGAUUAGAUACCCGGGUAGUC
RNAcentral lists this ribosomal RNA (459 nucleotides) under uncultured bacterium. Its description in RNAcentral is "partial 16S ribosomal RNA". It matches the Rfam family "Bacterial small subunit ribosomal RNA", at positions 338 to 795 of the family's 1533-position model. The record is from RNAcentral.